AACGGCGAGUGAAGAGGGAAUAGCCCAGCACCGAAGCCUGCGGCAGAUUUGCUGUUAGGCAAUGUGGUGUUUGGGUCGGCUAGUGGGAUUGCCACUCCACUCGAAGUCCAGCAUUGAGUAUGGUCACUGGAUUUGGCCCAGAGAGGGUGAAAGGCCCGUACGGGUGGAGGUUCAGACAUGUAAGGCAGUUCACCAGGCCGGCCUUAGAGUCGGGUUGUUUGGGAAUGCAGCCCAAAGAGGGUGGUAAACUCCAUCCAAGGCUAAAUACAAGCACGAGUCCGAUAGCGAACAAGUACCGUGAGGGAAAGUUGAAAAGUACUUUGAAGAGAGAGUAAACAGUACGUGAAACCGCAUGCAGGUAAACGGGUGGCGUCAAGCUGCAAGCCCAGAGAAUUCAGCUGACUAGGGUGCAUGCGUCUGUCGCAUCAAUCAGUCGGAAUAAGAUGUUAAUAGUCCACUGGGUUACGGUGGGCCCGGCCGCAAGGUUGGGACAUGCGUACCGGGCGGAAGCCGGAGCAUACUGUUCAUCUGUUGGACUGUCUAGUUAGUGCACUUUCUCUGUGGUGAACACCACGACCGGUGGAAUUGCCAGUCUGCUGUAGUCAAGUUGUGCUGAGCUGGUUCUUGUAAUCAGCUGGGUGCGAUCACAGGCAAACUCAGUAAACGGCGUAAGGGUGUUUCGGCACCUUUGCGUGUUAUCGGCUACUGGUUGUCAACGGGCCUGCCUUAUGAUUGUUGUAACUGUCAUUUGGUGGUCUGGUGGGCUAUGGUGGUAUGAAUAACUGUGCAAGGCAUCGGAGUUUUCGGCCUCAAAUGCAUCCCGCAUACACGUUACAAGUGGUGCGGGGUGCCAUUGCUGUCUGCCUGUUGUUGGGUCUGAUUGUCGUGUCGCCUGCACAAAGUGGGCCCGGCAGUGGCUCGAUAUGGGAUAGGUGGUGGAUGGUGCUCCCGGUGUGGGGUGCGGUGGGCCAAAUAGUCAGUGGUGUAGUGGUAGACGAGCUACCCGACCCGUCUUGAAACACGGACCAAGGAGUUUAACAUGUAUGCAAGUCAUGGGGUCCUACGAAACCCAAAGGCGCAGUGAAAGUGAAGCUUCGACUUGUUCUCGAAGUGAGGUGAGAUCCUGUCGUUACUCGCAUCAGCCUAAUGUCAGCAUCAGGUUAAGAGCGGCAGGCGCAUCACCGGCCCGUCCCAUGAUGUGGUCAUUGGAUGUCUGUAGUUGUCGCUCGCGGCAGCUGUGGUGCCAGUGCGUC
RNAcentral lists this ribosomal RNA (1253 nucleotides) under Calliobothrium australis. RNAcentral describes it as "eukaryotic LSU rRNA". It matches the Rfam family "Eukaryotic large subunit ribosomal RNA", at positions 85 to 804 of the family's 3401-position model. Lineage: Eukaryota; Metazoa; Platyhelminthes; Cestoda; Tetraphyllidea; Onchobothriidae. The record is from RNAcentral.